GUGGGGAAUAUUGGACAAUGGGCGCAAGCCUGAUCCAGCCAUGCCGCGUGUGUGAAGAAGGCCUUCGGGUUGUAAAGCACUUUUGUCCGGGAAGAAAUCUUCCAGGUUAAUACCCUGGGAGGCUGACGGUACCGGAAGAAUAAGCACCGGCUAACUUCGUGCCAGCAGCCGCGGUAAUACGAAGGGUGCAAGCGUUACUCGGAAUUACUGGGCGUAAAGCGUGCGUAGGUGGUUCGUUACGUCUGCCGUGAAAGCCCCGGGCUCAACCUGGGAAUGGGGGUGGCUACUGGCGGGCUAGAGUGCGGUAGAGGGUGGUGGAAUUCCCGGUGUAGCAGUGAAAUGCGUAGAGAUCGGGAGGAACAUCUGUGGCGAAGGCGGCCACCUGGACCAGCACUGACACUGAGGCACGAAAGCGUGGGGAGCAAACAGGAUUAGAUACCCGAGUAGUCC
RNAcentral lists this ribosomal RNA (450 nucleotides) under uncultured bacterium. Its description in RNAcentral is "bacterial SSU rRNA". It matches the Rfam family "Bacterial small subunit ribosomal RNA", at positions 354 to 796 of the family's 1533-position model. The record is from RNAcentral.